AUUGGGCCUUCACUAAAACCAAC
RNAcentral lists this non-coding RNA (23 nucleotides) under Arabidopsis thaliana (thale cress). The record is from RNAcentral. Lineage: Eukaryota; Viridiplantae; Streptophyta; Magnoliopsida; Brassicales; Brassicaceae.